CUCUCUCUCUCUCUCCUAUUUCUCCCUCAAUCUCAUAUCCUCUUUCGAUACCAAAUCACUUUCAUUCUCCGAGAUCCUCACCGAUUUUCAUCGAUGGUAACCUCAACAAGAGCAUCCAGCCGCCGCAACAACAACAAAUGAGAUACUCGUUCCAUCCUUUAACAAGAUCCCUUUCACUCUAUCACAUCGAUAUGCGCCAUCACUCUCCGAUCUGCGCGGUCGCUAAUCUUCAUCGUGUUUUCUCAAUGCAUCAUCGUCAAUCUAAUCUUCUAUUCUUCGGUAUUGUCUAAAAUUAUGAGUAAUUUUGGAUUUGUGAUAUGUUCUUCAAUUGUAUUUGAUUGCUUGAUUAAACUUUAAUUUGAAUUCAUAUUGCCUGUUUAAAUUAUAGAUAAUUGACAUAAUUUCAAUUGUUUAUCUCUAAUAAUUUGGCAAUAGUGUAGUAGAUAAUUGAUUUUCUCUACUAAAUGCAUAUCAAUGUCGUUAACGAAAUAAUGGGAAACCCUAAUGGCCAUCCAAUAUAAAAUAGGUUAUGGUCCCCAAUACACCGUACACAACGAUAUUCUCUCUUCUCCCCAUCUGAAGAGAACUUGAGGCAUAAAAGUAUCGGUUGAGGAAGAACCAAAUCAGCCGCCACUAACCCUGUUUUGUGGUUCAGAUCAUCACAUCUCCUCUUUGUUUAUGGUUGUUACUGAGAGAGCUGUCAUGAAUGUUUUAUCUAGGUAUUCCUAAUACCCUAAUUCUUAAUAUCCUUGAUAAAUCAAACAUGUCGUAGAUCCGAUCAUAAUGUUUUAUUUGCUUCCGCUAUUGAUUUAUAAUUGUUGAACAUGUUCUAUCAAAUCUAUUUUUAUUUAGACCUAAAUUUCUAACAUUUUUUUCUAUGAUUUUGUUUGAAUUUGAAUUCAUUGAUUAUUGUUUAGGUUCAGGUUUUUGUGAAAUUAAUUAAUUAAGAAUUAAUUUUGUGGAUUUGAUUGAUUCUAGAGCUUGAUGUACUAACUUUGCAAUGGUGCUGCUUUCUGACAUAGCCAUGGAAUCUUGCACAGGUAUGCAAUUGAUUAUGUUUUAAUUGUUGUUGUUGAUUAAUAUUGUAAAUCAAGAAGAGACCAAAUAAGAGGAAGGAAGUCUCUAAGAAUGAGUUUGACUAUGAUGCUGAGCAAGAUAUCUUGAUAUCAUGCCCCCCUUAAGAAAAGACAUACAUUUACAAUUCAUUUAUUGAUAUUUUAAAACUUUUUAUAUAUCAUACACACCUUUUUUAUUUCAAUUAUCCUUUUGUGUUAUAUGUCAUACAAAUACAUUGACCAACAUAAUUUAUAUAUAUUAUCUUUCAAAGAAUAUUUUUUCAUUCAAAAAAUAAUAAUUUUUAUAUAUUAAUUACUUAAUAUAAGCAAAAGCUUUUUGGGUAAAUAAGGUAGUUUUUUUUUCUCUUUCUAAUAGGAAGGUAACUUUUUAAGUUUAAAGAAAUUAUUAAAUUUUGAGAAUCUGAUAUUUUUCUCUUCAUGUAAAGUAAUUUUUUUGGGUACAAUGUGUUUGGACUGCUUAUGUGUAAAUAUGUUGAUUUAUGCAUAAUUAUACUCAUCUAUAAAUAUGUGUAUGUUUGUGUGCAUAGACACUUGUGUAUCCAAAUUUAAACAAUGGAUCAGAGAAAUACAAGGGCUAAUAUAUGUAUUUUGUGUUGACAUAUAAGAAGAAGGUAUGACGCUGAUUGCGAAUUCGGUCAAUAUUUUUUGACCAAUAGAAAUGUUGACUUUCAGAGUGUCAUUCAAAUUCUGACCUUAAGUCGACUGAUGAGAAUCAUGCGAUAAAUAUAACUGAUUUAAAGACAAGUUGUUGCCGAUUCCCUUCUCACUGAAGGAGAAGCUUGGCGAAUUAGUCCAGAUCGGGGUUUUCUUGGACACCAAUUGGAGCUGGGUUCCCAAUAAAACAUCUCUUUGAAUGAAAUAGAUAUUGCUAGAAGAGUUUUAGAUUUUUUCAUUGAUAAUGCAAAUUCAAAUAAUGCACGUUCUUCAAUGCCUUCUAGCACUGAAAUUCCUAACUUUAACUUGGAUAUAUGGGUAAAUUUUCAUUCUAGAACGCAUGGAAAAAGGUGCAUUGUUUGAAUUUGCAUUAUCAAUGCAAAAAGCUAAAAGUCUUCUAGAAAUAUCUAUUUCAUUCAAAGCGGGGUUUAAUUGGGCACCUGGCUCCUAUUGGUGUCCAAGAAAACCCAAUCUACGUUAAUUCGUCAAGAUUCUCCUUCAGUGAGAAGGGAAUCGGCAACAUGUUAUCUUUAAAUUGGUUUUAUUGAUCGCAUGAUUCUCAUUAGGGGACUUAACUAAAAAAUCUGAAUGAUACCCUGAAAGUCAACAUAUCUAUUGGUCGAAAAAUAUUGACCGAAUUCACAAAAAGCGACAUGCCUUCUUCUUAUAUGUCGACACAAAAGACAUAUAUUAGCCAUUGUAUUUCUAUGAUCCAUUGUUUAAAUUUGGAUACACAAGUGUCUAUGCACACAAACAUACACAUAUUUAUAGAUGAGUAUAAUUAUGCAUAAAUCAACAUAUUUACACAUAAGCCGUCCAAAUACAUUGUACCGGAAAAAAAUUACUUUUUAUGAAGGGAAAAAUAUCGGAUUCUCAAAAUUUAAUAAUUUCUUUAAACUAAAAAGUUACCUUCCUAUUAGGAAAAAAAACUACCUUCUUUACCAAAAAAGCUUUUGUUGAUAUUAAGUAACUAAUAUAUAAAAAUUAUUAUUUUUUGAAUGAAAAAAUAUUUUUGAAAGAUAAUAUAUAUAAAUUAUGAUGGUCAAUGUAUUUGUAUGACAUAUAACACAAAAGGAUAAUUCAAAUAAAGGUGUGUAUAAUAUAUAAAACAUUAUAAAAAAUCAAUAAUGCAGAUAUUUUUUCUUGGACACCAAUUGGAGUUGGGUGCCCAAUUAAACAUCUCUUUGAAUGAAAUAGAUAUUGCUAGAAAACUUUUAACUUUUUUCAUUGAUAAUGCAAAUUCAAAUAAUGCACUUUUUGCUAUGCCUUAUAGGACUCAAAUUCCUGACUUUAACUUGGAUAUAUGGGUAAAUUACUUAGCGACAUCAGUUUUGUACUCGUUGUCCACAACCAAUAGUCCAUCGUAAAUCUUGUCCUUUUAUUUGAUUUAUUUGAAAAACGAAUGUAACAAGAUUCAUGUUCUUAUAAAACAUUUUGUUGCAGGACUUAUUUUGUCAUAACUUCUAAAAUGAUUAAAAAUUCAUCAGUCAUUUCCUAAAGGCAUUCUUCCCCAAAACGAUGAUCAGAUAUAUGUAACAUAUAUUCCUAGGAACUAGAAGAUUUUAACUAGCAAAGGGACAUGAUAAGAAAUUAUUUUUUUGCAAGUUGAAGAACAAUAGAAGAGAGAAAAUAAAUUAUAUGUAACCUAUAUACUUGGAGUUUGCUGUAAUUUUUAUACUCUUAAGGUUAAUGGCAUUCAAAGUAAUUUCUAAA
This 3443-nucleotide long non-coding RNA is filed under the name Medicago truncatula (barrel medic). Its description in RNAcentral is "long non-coding RNA (MTRU_LNC000412)". The record is from RNAcentral. Lineage: Eukaryota; Viridiplantae; Streptophyta; Magnoliopsida; Fabales; Fabaceae.